UACGGAGGUGGCAAGCGUUACUCGGAAUUAUUGGGUGUAAAGGGUAGGUAGGCGGUUUAUUAAGUGAGGGGUGAAAUCCUGCGGCUCAAUCGCAGAAUUGCCUUUCAAACUGGUAGACUUGAGGCCUGAAGGGGGAAACGGAAUUAGCAGUGUAAGGGUGAAAUCUGUAGAUAUUGCUAAGAACACCAGCAGCGAAGGCGGUUUCCUAGUCAGGUUCUGACGCUCAGCUACGAAAGCUAGGGGAGCAAACAGGAUUAGAUACCUUGGUAGUCCUAGCCGUAAACGAUGAGCACUAGGUGUUGGUCCUUCGGGAUCAGUGCCGCAGCUAACGCAUUAAGCGCUCCACCUGGGGACUACGGUCGCAAGGCUAAA
This 372-nucleotide ribosomal RNA is filed under the name uncultured bacterium. Its description in RNAcentral is "bacterial SSU rRNA". It matches the Rfam family "Bacterial small subunit ribosomal RNA", at positions 524 to 898 of the family's 1533-position model. The record is from RNAcentral.